RNAcentral lists this ribosomal RNA (465 nucleotides) under uncultured bacterium. Its description in RNAcentral is "partial 16S ribosomal RNA". It matches the Rfam family "Bacterial small subunit ribosomal RNA", at positions 28 to 507 of the family's 1533-position model. The record is from RNAcentral.
GACGAACGCUGGCGGCGUGCUUAACACAUGCAAGUCGAACGGAAAGGCCCUGCUUGCAGGGUUCUCGAGUGGCGAACGGGUGAGUAACACGUGGGUGAUCUGCCCUGCACUUCGGGAUAAGCCUGGGAAACUGGGUCUAAUACCGGAUAGGAGCCAUUUUUAGUGUGAUGGUUGGAAAGUUUUUUCGGUGUAGGAUGAGCUCGCGGCCUAUCAGCUUGUUGGUGGGGUAAUGGCCUACCAAGGCGGCGACGGGUAGCCGGCCUGAGAGGGUGGACGGCCACAUUGGGACUGAGAUACGGCCCAGACUCCUACGGGAGGCAGCAGUGGGGAAUAUUGCACAAUGGGCGCAAGCCUGAUGCAGCGACGCCGCGUGGGGGAUGACGGCCUUCGGGUUGUAAACUCCUUUCGCUAGGGACGAAGCUUUUUGUGACGGUACCUAGAUAAGAAGCACCGGCUAACUACGUG